AGAGCUCCAGUGGCUGGUCACGGAUAGGCUAGAGGAGGUUAGCGUUUCGAGUACGCGCUCUGCGUCCAAGCGUCGCGUCGCGUCGCGUCACGACGCGCGAGUAUUGCGAGACGUCGUCGAUCAGUAUCGUGGAAGCGCGCGUCCCGUACCGCUCGGGCAACCCUUAAAUCGCGUGCAACAUUUCACGAAGAACGACGUUUCGUCAUUGAUGUGUGAAAUUAUUCGCGAACGAAUCGAGUUUACGUCGAGAUCUUGACAUACCGGGCUAAAGCUGUUUUCAAGGAGGACGCGAUGGAAUGAGUUUUCAAUGAAAUUGCGGACGUGACAAAAUGUUGCGAAACGUAGUUGGAGCAAACGAAAGGAAUCGACAGUAUGAUGCUGAAACGUCGAUUGAAACGAGGAUCGUCGGAAGUAUCGUGGAAACAGGCAUGAUUGUGAGCAGAGACAGAAGCAUUCUUGUCCUCGUUCGAAAUGGCGAAUAUCUGCAAAUAAUUUUCUGUUAGUCCCUGGACGUAGCGA
This is a long non-coding RNA of Bombus impatiens (common eastern bumble bee), 519 nucleotides long. RefSeq lists it as uncharacterized. Lineage: Eukaryota; Metazoa; Arthropoda; Insecta; Hymenoptera; Apidae. The transcript has 2 exons. The record is from RefSeq and is a predicted model, not a curated record.